GACGAACGCUGGCGGCGUGCUUAACACAUGCAAGUCGAACGGGAGGAAAAGAGAAGCUUGCUUCUUUUUGAAUCUAGUGGCAAACGGGUGAGUAACACGUAAACAACCUGCCUUCAGGAUGGGGACAACAGACGGAAACGACUGCUAAUACCGAAUGUGUUCCGGAGACCGCAUGAUUUCCGGAAGAAAGGAUGGCCUCUAUUUAUAAGCUAUCGCCUGAAGAGGGGUUUGCGUCUGAUUAGGCAGUUGGUGAGGUAACGGCCCACCAAACCUACGAUCAGUAGCCGGUCUGAGAGGAUGAACGGCCAUACUGGAACUGAGACACGGUCCAGACUCCUACGGGAGGCAGCAGUGGGGAAUCUUCCGCAAUGGACGAAAGUCCGACGGAGCAACGCCGCGUGAGUGAUGACGGCCUUCGGGUUGUAAGACGUCUGUGAUCGGGACGAAUAGGCUGGUAUGGCUAAUACCACUAUC
RNAcentral lists this ribosomal RNA (474 nucleotides) under uncultured bacterium. RNAcentral describes it as "bacterial SSU rRNA". It matches the Rfam family "Bacterial small subunit ribosomal RNA", at positions 28 to 479 of the family's 1533-position model. The record is from RNAcentral.